Hypanus sabinus (Atlantic stingray) is the source of this 2678-nucleotide long non-coding RNA. RefSeq lists it as uncharacterized. Lineage: Eukaryota; Metazoa; Chordata; Chondrichthyes; Myliobatiformes; Dasyatidae. The record is from RefSeq and is a predicted model, not a curated record. The transcript has 5 exons.
AUUAUUAAGGUUUUCCCCAACCUUUCUUUAAAUUUUAAAAUCCCCCGUGGCGUUUCUACAUUUAUAGGACCUCAAUAUUCCAAACUUAUACGCUGAAAGAAACAAAAAAAAACUACGAAGACUGCAGCUCUGCCGGCCUUGGGAUUUUCCUGCCGGCGGUCUCUAGAAGUGCUUAUUUGCCAAGCGGGAUGUUGUAAUGUGAACUUUCCAACUAAUUGUCAAUUAAGUCUCCAAUUGAACAAAAGUCUUCUCCUUCUUUCAAGUUAAUACUGUUUCUUCAAACAUAUGUCCGCUAUUUUGGGUUAUAGUUGUGCAGAGUACACGGAUUUCGCAUUUUUCCCUCUUCUACUUUUGGUUGGUCGAAACUCGGCUCCAGAUUGAUUCGUUACACCUUUAAGGAAGUGGAUGCUUCGUACGGGAAGAGGAGGUCCUCCCGCUCUCUCUUUCUCUGCCGCGUUCUUCCUUGCACUGAUCUUACUCAGAAAUAUUACUCCAUACAAUCGUAUUUUGCACUACCGCCCACCUCUCUUUGUACCGAGUUUGUGCCGUAAAACCAACGACAGAGAAUAUUUUCUCGAAUACAAGUUCCUCUUCUCCUCAUAUAAAGAAUGCAGCUGGUCAAAUCCAAGCAAUAAUAACUGAAAUUCCCCAGUGCGUGCAUUAACUGUUGUGGCACUUUGCUUAACUUUAUUCCUUGUUUUUUGCUCCCUGUUGGUCGCUCGGUGACCUGUUUAGGGUUGGUAGGGAGGAGGGGGUGUUGUUACGCUGGCUGCUUCGCCCGACUCCACGUUACAAGUCUGGGGUUGGGCUGCCUCCAGCGACUACUGCUCACCGCUGUCGAGUCGCCGGGUCCCUGUCGCGCCGUCUCCCGGAGUCCAACGCUUCGUCUGUCAGCGGCACCAUGAGAAAACGGGCAACGGAAUACGCUGAGCCCGAACUUCAGAGAAGCGGUUCGCGUUCAACGCGCCAACCCCCCGCACACGCAGAAUUACCGCUCCGCAAUCGUUGUGCUCUGGAAUUUGCUGCCUGGAAGGGGAAUAGAAGCAGAUUUGGAUUUUUCCAAUGCCACUUUGAAAGGAACUAUCCAGAAAACUACAGGUGAAGUGCAGGAUGGUGUUACUGAAGGGAAUAGUUUCCAGCUGUCUGCCUAUCAGACUACUGGAGUGUGGGCCACACCCAGCACCAGUCACCAGAAAAUGAUGGCAGCUACCGAAGGCUGCUCCUCAGAGAACCCUGAGGUAGAAGAUAGGAGAAGCAACCAAAGAAGCCCUGACCAUUUCUUCCUUGAGAAGAAGCAACUGUGUAAGACUUCUUGGCAUCAACACACCGGACAUCAGCUACGUACCAGAAGCAAAAUGUCCCUACAACCUCUGCCUGACAUUGACUUUAAUGGUCUGAGUAUCGUAACCAACACUGCUUGCUCCACCUCUGGUCUCUAUGAAUGACUGAUGCCUUGUGUCAGGUCCGAGUUCUUAUGUUGUCUGUCACUUAAUGCUAUGGCUUGUAUUGGCCCCCCAGGAGCUCAGGGAACCAGGCAAGGUUAGAAGGGUUUUACUGGCAGUGUUAGCCAAGUCGACGUUUAGUGGCCAGUUGCCAGAGGGGAUAGAAAUUGUUUUUGAAUCAGUAGGUGGGGAGAAGAACAUCAGCCACCAGAAUAUCAAGCUAUCCCAUGUUGCUAUUGGCUCGGUCUUCAGCUGUGAAAACACUCUUGGAUUAAGAGUCCAAGUACAAGAAAUUGGCCUUAAAGUUACUUCAAAACUCCACCAGUGCUUCAGGGCUCCUUUACCCCAUUACAACUCACUCUAUCGAGCUGGUGUGAGGGGUUUGUAGGCAAACUGUUGGAAAAAAGUAAACUGGUCAUCAGAGAGAAUUUGUUCCCAAAGGUUGACCUGUGGCAUGGAGUCCAUUUACCAUGUUGUCCAUUCCCUUUAUUCAUGAAGAAACUGUGGAAAAACUGUAACCUAGUUACCACAGCUAGAGAGCAUAGAGCUAAAAUAAAAUGUUAAUUUAUGAAUAGAAAGCCUUCCAAAAGUAGGAACAGUGGGUUUACUUCAUUUAAAAGGCCCGUAGCAGUUCAGUAACAGUUUACCAUGGGGCCAAGGUCUAUAUAGCAAGAGCUGAAGGUUUAAACACCUACGCAAAUUAUAAACUCUAUGUUUGGAAUGUUUCAAGGCUGCUUUAAGUCUGUUGAUCCAUGCAUUAUUUUAAUUAUGUCUGCUAAUGGAAAAAAAGGAGAAAAAAAUUAAUAAAGCCUUCAACAGGAAGAACAACAGAGUAUGUUUUCCUGAGAUUUAAUGAUUUACAGCAACAGCUCAAUUUAAGCCUCUGUUUUGUUGAUAUAGUGAGAAGGUAAAUCAGCUGUGGUAUUAUAUUACAAGUGUUCAUGCAGUUUUGGUAAAGUGGAUUUAUGCUGUCAUAAUGUGAAUAAAAAAGUGAAGUACAUCACUGCAAAAUUUGACAAAACAGUGCCAGUGUGAAUCCCUAUUGUACUCAAUCGGCUUCAUUUAGUAUACAUUUCAUACACAUCUGUAGAAAAAUAACCACAGAUGUAAAGUAACUGUAAAAAAACCCACACACAAAAAUAAAUGUUGUAAAAUAUUCACACAUGAAACCAUUCAUAGAAAAAUAUCCAGAAUCAAAAUUUACCUGGAGGAGAUUAUUCACAUACAAAACAUCUG